GUGGGGAAUAUUGGGCAAUGGGCGCAAGCCUGACCCAGCAACGCCGCGUGAGGGAAGAAGGUUUUCGGAUUGUAAACCUCUGUCCUGGGGGACGAAAAAAAUGACGGUACCCCGGGAGGAAGCCCCGGCUAACUACGUGCCAGCAGCCGCGGUAAUACGUAGGGGGCGAGCGUUGUCCGGAAUUACUGGGCGUAAAGGGUGCGUAGGCGGCAUGUUAAGUUGGAUGUGAAAUACCCGGGCUCAACCUGGGGGGUGCAUCCAAAACUGGCAAGCUAGAGUGCAGGAGAGGAAAGCGGAAUUCCUAGUGUAGCGGUGAAAUGCGUAGAUAUUAGGAGGAACACCAGUGGCGAAGGCGGCUUUCUGGACUGCAACUGACGCUGAUGCACGAAAGCGUGGGGAGCAAACAGGAUUAGAAACCCUUGUAGUCC
This 428-nucleotide ribosomal RNA is filed under the name uncultured bacterium. Its description in RNAcentral is "partial 16S ribosomal RNA". It matches the Rfam family "Bacterial small subunit ribosomal RNA", at positions 354 to 796 of the family's 1533-position model. The record is from RNAcentral.